ACAGUAGUAGGUUUGACACACAGCCCUGGAGAUAAAAGGGGCGUGGCUAACUGAUGCAACGGUAACAGAAGGUUCUAGAAAUUUGAGCUAGUUUUUAUGCUGAGGUAUGAGUGUAACAGAAAACAGGCACAGAAUGAACUGCAGAGAGAUUUCGCACUCGGGAGAAGGUAUUCCACAGUCUUGGUAAUGGUGUGCAGCACAGAGCUGGCUUCUCUCUCCGAGAAGAACUUCUGUUUAAGGAUCCGAUCGAGCAGCUCACCGCCUCUCAUCAGCUCAGUCACCAGUCGCCCAGUUUUAGCUCCUCUGCUGCUGCGGGCCUCUAGCCUGACCGUGGUGGCCCUUACCCAACACUCGCCCCCUCCGAAACGCGUGUGGUAGCAGAGACUGUAACUGCAGCCGUGAUGAGAAUCGGUCAUUUGUGUCUGUGUAGGCACCCAUCCGACCAUCAGCAGGGAUUCGAACCUGAGAGCAGUGGGCUUAUUAGUGGCCUUGUGAACGCAGCGCUUGCACACAGAGAAAGAUCCCAUGCCGAUAUCCUCCUUCAGUACAUAUCCAUCAUUGAACGCAGAGUUCUUACCAUUAGUAGCUGGAUUGUGAGCUCAAGGUUUUAAACUUACAUUCCAGUCGAUGGUUGAGAAGAAAGCAUGACGUUUAAUCUCCUCUGCACCGUCUGGUCCAGAAGCUACAACACAGUCCAUAAAGAGAAUAAACACACAGAGAACAAUGUUUCAGAUCUCUGUAGAUGAUGCCAAGGCCGUGCAGGUGAUCCAGACCCAGAGCCAGCUCCGCCAGGGUUCGGAUGCGAGUACCUCCUUUGAGAGUCUGGUGAAGAGGUCACCUCCACGCAGAAAGUCCAGGAUCAAAUAGAGCUUCCCCUCCGUCUGAAAAGCUGCUCACACACACACACACACACACAGAGGUAAAAAGAAAGCUUUUACUCACCGUAGUGCAGUUUGACCACAAACGGGUGAUUCACAUCCGCGAGGAUGUCCCUCUCCAUCUUGGUCCGAACUCGAUCACGUACUGCCAGGGGAGGAAAGAUCAGCGGUCAGCGGUGGACGUAAUUAUUGAAGCACACGAGUCUCAGCUUUGAAUUUGCCAGUCUACUGAAAUGUUCCCUCACAUGCUUGAUUUGAGUUGACACUAAAGUACAGUUUGAAGUAUUGGGUUUAUUGUAUUGGGGUUAUUUCUGUUCUUCCCAAUCUAGUCCACUCCGAUUCUCAUCACACACCCCUGUUCCAUCAGUCUUGUAUAUUCACCUGCCCACAGUGGAGUCUCAGAGACAUGCAAAGCUCUCCAGAUCUUUCCUCGGCUGCUCUCGUUAUCCGCAUUGAUUUGGCACAGCUUUUACGCCGGAUGCCCUUCCUGACACGACCCUCCCUAUUUAUCCGGGCUUGGGACCGGCACUACAAUGCACUGGUUUCUGCAUCCUAGCAGCCAGGUACCUAUAGGACGAUUCAGUGUCUCCAACUAGCCUGGCUGCAUGUUUUUGGACUGUGGGAGCAAACCGGAGCUCCCGGAGGAAACCCACACAGACACGGGGAGAACAUGCAAACUCCACACAAAGGAAUCAAACCCAAGACCUUCUUGCUGUGAGGCGACGGUGCCACUGUGCUAAUAACAAUAACGUUUUGGAAUGCAUUUGAGCAUGAAGUGAGGCUACUCUUCCUCAGACAACCUGAGCAGACCUGCAGGACCCGUGUGAUUCAAACCACCGAAUGUAAAAAUCACAGUCCGGGCAUCCCUGCAUCUCCUCUACGUGCCCGCGGUAAUGCCAUCCGAGCAGGAGCCCGGCCUGAAGGCGUGUGAGGGUGAGACGUGUACGUGCCCAGAGUGAGCGAGAGGUGGCGGGCGGAAGUGGGACAGGAAGGAAGAGAACCACAGAGAGAUUGAAAGGUGGUAAAGAGGAAGAAAGAAUAAAGCACAGGAGAGAGA
Long non-coding RNA from Trichomycterus rosablanca, 1935 nucleotides. RefSeq lists it as uncharacterized. The record is from RefSeq and is a predicted model, not a curated record. Lineage: Eukaryota; Metazoa; Chordata; Actinopteri; Siluriformes; Trichomycteridae. The transcript is spliced from 10 exons.